ACCCCUUACCAUUCCGAACAGGGAAGUUAAGACCGUUUGCGCCGAUGGUACUGCUAUACCAAGUGGGAGAGUAGGUAGCCGCCUUCC
RNAcentral lists this ribosomal RNA (87 nucleotides) under Maribacter flavus. The record is from RNAcentral. Lineage: Bacteria; Pseudomonadati; Bacteroidota; Flavobacteriia; Flavobacteriales; Flavobacteriaceae.